AUUGAACGCUGGCGGCAGGCCUAACACAUGCAAGUCGAACGGUAACAGGAAGCAGCUUGCUGCUUCGCUGACGAGUGGCGGACGGGUGAGUAAUGUCUGGGAAACUGCCCGAUGGAGGGGGAUAACUACUGGAAACGGUAGCUAAUACCGCAUAACGUCGCAAGACCAAAGAGGGGGACCUUCGGGCCUCUUGCCAUCGGAUGUGCCCAGAUGGGAUUAGCUUGUUGGUGAGGUAACGGCUCACCAAGGCGACGAUCCCUAGCUGGUCUGAGAGGAUGACCAGCCACACUGGAACUGAGACACGGUCCAGACUCCUACGGGAGGCAGCAGUGGGGAAUAUUGCACAAUGGGCGCAAGCCUGAUGCAGCCAUGCCGCGUGUAUGAAGAAGGCCUUCGGGUUGUAAAGUACUUUCAGCGGGGAGGAAGGUGUUGUGGUUAAUAACCGCAGCAAUUGACGUUACCCGCAGAAGAAGCACCGGCUAACUCCGUGCCAGCCGCCGCGGUAA
This 506-nucleotide ribosomal RNA is filed under the name uncultured bacterium. RNAcentral describes it as "partial 16S ribosomal RNA". It matches the Rfam family "Bacterial small subunit ribosomal RNA", at positions 30 to 523 of the family's 1533-position model. The record is from RNAcentral.